GCACACAUGGCAGGUGGCGGUAACGGAAAGAAACAGGUUUCCAGCAACGAGACAAAGAAUGAGGUAACUUUUAAAGUUUAUUUCAUCACUUCUUAUAUUCUCAUGUAAACCUCUUAUGGUAGUUCACUGGUUAAAAAAAAAUCAUACCCAACCCGACCUGUCAUGGUAUACUGAUGAGUUUUGCAAUUUAUAAGUAAUAGUAAAAGAAAAGUUGAAUUUAUAAUCUUUCUCAUUCUUCUUUCUAAUUUUUAGAGCUAGACCACCUUAUAACUCUUACAUCACCAUUAUUGUUGGGUUAAAUUAGAGUUUAUUCUGAUGCAAAAGAUAGGAAAAAGGGAAAGGUGCGGGCGCAAAAAAUUAGAGGUGAAGAAGAUGCUAGCGUGGGCUUGGAGGACUAUAACUUUGAAGAACAUGAAGGGGGAUACAGAAACUCCUGUUACUAAGUAACUCAAGGUUACAUCACAGGUAAUCAUUAUACGCUACACACAAAUAACAUAUGAUGAUGUGUCGUGAUUUCUUUCUGCUUUGAAUUUCGAUUGCCAUAUGUUCUCCCUGUGUAUAUCUAAGAUAUCUUUUUAUCAUGUAAUAUCUUCAAAAUGUUUUACUUAAACCAUUAAUAAAAUAAAUGAUGCAUAGACAGUCUC
Molecule: long non-coding RNA, 644 nt
Filed under: Vigna radiata
Lineage: Eukaryota; Viridiplantae; Streptophyta; Magnoliopsida; Fabales; Fabaceae
Description: long non-coding RNA (VRAD_LNC009516)
Source: RNAcentral